This 415-nucleotide ribosomal RNA is filed under the name Clostridiales bacterium oral taxon 075. RNAcentral describes it as "bacterial SSU rRNA". It matches the Rfam family "Bacterial small subunit ribosomal RNA", at positions 28 to 432 of the family's 1533-position model. The record is from RNAcentral. Lineage: Bacteria; Bacillati; Bacillota; Clostridia; Eubacteriales.
GAUAAACGCUGGCGGUGUACAUAAGACAUGCAAGUCGAACGGGAGAAGACAGGAAGAUUUAUCUACUUGUUGGACACCGUGGCGGACGGGUGAGUAACACGUAAGCAACCUGCCUAUAAGAGGGGAAUAACAGUGAGAAAUUACUGAUAAUACCGCAUAAGCUGGAGGUAUCGCAUGAUACAUUCAGAAAAGAUUUAUCGCUUAUAGAUGGGCUUGCGUCUGAUUAGCUAGUUGGUGAGAUAACAGCUCACCAAGGCGACGAUCAGUAGCCGGAUUGAGAGGUUGAACGGCCACAUUGGGACUGAGACACGGCCCAGACUCCUACGGGAGGCAGCAGUCGGGAAUAUUGCACAAUGGAGGAAACUCUGAUGCAGUGACACCGCGUAUAGGAAGAAGGUCUUAGGAUUGUAAGCUA